RNAcentral lists this ribosomal RNA (434 nucleotides) under uncultured bacterium. Its description in RNAcentral is "bacterial SSU rRNA". It matches the Rfam family "Bacterial small subunit ribosomal RNA", at positions 355 to 786 of the family's 1533-position model. The record is from RNAcentral.
UGAGGAAUAUUGGUCAAUGGCCGAGAGGCUGAACCAGCCAAGUCGCGUGAGGGAAGACGGCCCUACGGGUUGUAAACCUCUUUUGCCGGGGAGCAACGUGCGGAUCGCGAUCCGCGAUGAGAGUACCCGGAGAAAAAGCAUCGGCUAACUCCGUGCCAGCAGCCGCGGUAAUACGGAGGAUGCGAGCGUUAUCCGGAUUUAUUGGGUUUAAAGGGUGCGCAGGCGGAGGCGCAAGUCAGCGGUAAAAGUCGCGGGGCUCAACCCCGCUCCGCCGUUGAAACUGUGUCCCUUGAGUGCGCGAAGGGCAGGCGGAAUGCGUGGUGUAGCGGUGAAAUGCAUAGAUAUCACGCAGAACUCCGAUCGCGAAGGCAGCCUGCCGGCGCGCAACUGACGCUCAUGCACGAAAGCGUGGGUAUCGAACAGGAUUAGAUACC